RNAcentral lists this ribosomal RNA (432 nucleotides) under uncultured bacterium. RNAcentral describes it as "partial 16S ribosomal RNA". It matches the Rfam family "Bacterial small subunit ribosomal RNA", at positions 29 to 506 of the family's 1533-position model. The record is from RNAcentral.
AACGAACGCUGGCGGCAUGCCUAACACAUGCAAGUCGAACGAGACCUUCGGGUUUUGUUGCGCUCGGGUGCGUACCGCGUGGGAACCUGCCCUUAGGUUCGGAAUACUUCCCUGAAAGGGGUCCUAACACCGGAUAAUGUCUUCGGACCAAAGAUUUAUCGCUUUUGGAUGGGGCCGCGUUGGUUUCGCUAGUUGGUAGGGUAAAAGCCUCCCAAGGCGAUGAUCCAGAGCUGGUCUGUGAGGAGGAACAGCGAGACUGGGACUGGGACACGGCCCAGACGGGUGCGAGAGGCAGCAAAGAGGAAAAAUUGGGAAGGGGCGAGAGCCAGAACCGGCGAGUGCGGGAGGAUGGUGAAGGGCUUAGGGUUGGAAAGCUCUUUUACCCGGGAGGAUAAUGCCGGAACCGGGAAAAUAAGCCCCGGCAAACUCCUG